Molecule: non-coding RNA, 122 nt
Filed under: Ramlibacter tataouinensis TTB310
Lineage: Bacteria; Pseudomonadati; Pseudomonadota; Betaproteobacteria; Burkholderiales; Comamonadaceae
Description: Burkholderia RNA 11
Rfam family: Burkholderia RNA 11
About the family: Co-purified with Hfq, expression confirmed by Northern blot.
Source: Rfam by way of RNAcentral
GCAACCUGAAGCUGGCCCGGCGCGACGUGGUGGUGUUCCGCUCCCUGCUGGGCAUCAGCUGGAUGUGGUUCUUCGGCGCGGUGUUCCUCAGCCAGUUCCCCAGCUUCGCCCGCGAGGUGCUG